UAAUCUUAUCUGGUAAAGCGAAUGAUUAGAGGCCUUAGGGUCGAAACGACCUUAACCUAUUCUCAAACUUUAAAUGGGUAAGAACCUCACCUUUCUUGAUAUGAAGGUUGAGGUUGUGAUAUAAUGUGCCCAGUGGGCCACUUUUGGUAAGCAGAACUGGCGCUGUGGGAUGAACCAAACGUAAUGUUACGGUGCCCAAAUUAACAACUCAUGCAGAUACCAUGAAAGGCGUUGGUUGCUUAAAACAGCAGGACGGUGGACAUGGAAGUCGUAAUCCGCUAAGGAGUGUGUAACAACUCACCUGCCGAAGCAACUAGCCCUUAAAAUGGAUGGCGCUUAAGUUGUAUACCUAUACAUUACCGCUAAAGUAGAUGAUUUA
RNAcentral lists this ribosomal RNA (379 nucleotides) under Tricholauxania sp. NCSU-99071930. RNAcentral's name for it is "eukaryotic LSU rRNA". It matches the Rfam family "Eukaryotic large subunit ribosomal RNA", at positions 996 to 1371 of the family's 3401-position model. Lineage: Eukaryota; Metazoa; Arthropoda; Insecta; Diptera; Lauxaniidae. The record is from RNAcentral.